CGUAAGUCUAGUAGGGUUUCCCAUCCUCUUGAGAGGUGCUUAGGUAUUAUCUCAAAGGAUAUAGAGACAAUAUUUCUCAUAGAAAAUGGGUUACAUAGAGAUGACGCCAAAACCUAUAGUGAGGCAAUAUUAGAUAUCAAUUUUGAAAAAUGGUUAGAGGCAAUGAAGUCAAAAAUUAACUCAAUACACUCAAACCAAGUCUGAACUUUAAUAGAUCUACCUGAAGGAAUUGUACGUAUUAGGUGUAAAUAGAUUUACGAGAGAAAGAUUGGUAC
RNAcentral lists this long non-coding RNA (275 nucleotides) under Elaeis guineensis (African oil palm). Its description in RNAcentral is "long non-coding RNA (EGUI_LNC049560)". The record is from RNAcentral. Lineage: Eukaryota; Viridiplantae; Streptophyta; Magnoliopsida; Arecales; Arecaceae.